This 377-nucleotide unclassified non-coding RNA is filed under the name plant metagenome. RNAcentral's name for it is "partial contains 5.8S ribosomal RNA, internal transcribed spacer 2, and large subunit ribosomal RNA". The stretch from base 1 to 104 matches the Rfam family "5.8S ribosomal RNA", at positions 51 to 154 of the family's 154-position model. The record is from RNAcentral.
AAAUGCGAUAAGUAAUGUGAAUUGCAGAAUUCAGUGAAUCAUCGAAUCUUUGAACGCACCUUGCGCUCCUUGGUAUUCCUUGGAGCAUGCCUGUUUGAGUAUCAUGAAAUCUUCAAAGUAAAUCUUUUGUUAACUCAAUUGGUUUCUACUUUGGUAUUGGAGGUCUUUGCAGCUUCACACCUGCUCCUCUUUGUUCAUUAGCUGGAUCUCAGUGUUAUGCUUGGUUCCACUCGGCGUGAUAAGUUAUCUAUCGCUGAGGACACUGUAAAAGGUGGCCAAGGUAAAUGCACAUGAACCGCUUCUAAUAGUCCAUUGACUUGGACAAUACUUUUAUGAUCUGAUCUCAAAUCAGGUAGGACUACCCGCUGAACUUAAGC